This is a long non-coding RNA of Acanthopagrus latus (yellowfin seabream), 3254 nucleotides long. RefSeq lists it as uncharacterized. The record is from RefSeq and is a predicted model, not a curated record. NCBI's taxonomy places the organism in Eukaryota, Metazoa, Chordata, Actinopteri, Spariformes, Sparidae. The transcript is spliced from 2 exons.
CGCGCAACAUAAAUAACCUGAAGGGCAUCCGCUCAGCUCGGGAUAAUGGGAGCUAGAUAUCAGCCACAUGGGAAGAGAUCUGCUGCGAUGAUCACAGCGUCACUCUUGGUAAAGAGAAGUGACUGUUUCAGCCGUUAGCCGUCCUAACACCAGGACUGGUUUAUUUCUCCAUGUGUCAUCGCAGGAGGACUGAUAAGACUUGUAGGUCAGUUUUCAGUUGGCGUGGCAGAUGGUGUCUAUCCACCCCUGCUGGCUCAACACCUGGUUCUUCUUGACUGGUUAUUUAAUGACUAAAUGAAGCAAUAAAAAAAAUCAUCAGCCAAAUGCAUUUUGACCCCUCAGUGCUGUUUAGCAUCUUUCACCGACUGGCACACAAGGUUCUCAUUAAGUCUGAGAGAGAAUCACCAAUAUGUAGUCAAAGGUUUCUGAGAACAAACUGUUCAAACUGUGAAUCAGCAUCCUGACCUCUUCCAAGGAACCAGAAAGAAAGAAGGGAAGAGGGAUUGCGUCACCGGAUCGUGGUUCUGAUCCAGAUUGUGGUUGUAUUGAUCUCAGUGGGAGUCGAGUGGAGAAACACACUUCAACCUAACACGUUCAUGUCGUAAUGACUUCUAAUGAGGAAAUGCAUCCAGAACACACUUCAGAGAGCGCGUUCAGCUUGUUUUGUUCGACUUCGGUGACAUUUCGCUGCGUUUCAGGCAACUUGGAUCUUGAAAAAUUGCGAUCACCUGCUAGAAAAUGGAAAGCCACUCCAGGUCAUGAACUCUGGGCAAAUCCAUCUACCACAACAAUCAAGACAGGGAGGGGCGUUUGUCUGACGUCACACAACAAUGGUGGAACCCACGGGGAAAGGGAGUAAGAUGUUGAGAUACGUAAGAAGAAUGUAAGCCAGAAAAAUGCUGCACUUCUGAUUCUGAGUUUCCUGAGUUUUGCAUUUUACAAGAAAAACGUCAGAUGUGAAACAACAACAAAAACAAAGAGAUUAUGUAGAGAGUGAAGGAGAGAGUUAAUUUGGACACAAUGUCGGGGCUCUGGUGUUGUGUUCAAAGACACAUUUUGACACACAUCACAAAAUGAACGUUGGUUCGCUUCACUUUCUAACAAUGCAGCCUUUUACGACUACGAUAAGUCAAAAUGUUUCUUGUGAAGGAUGGAAAUAGCCUCUUAAAAAUGGGUAGUAAUUAAUAAUUUGUGUUGAAACAGGAACAUGUUCAUUAAAUAAAAAUUACAAGUGUGCAAAAAAAAAAAAGCUUCAUCCGGCAUCCUCAGGCCUUCUGCUCUAUAGGGGAUGAGAAAUAUAUAAGUGACAUGUUUUUUCUGAUGACUCAGCACUCAUCGCUGGCGGUAUGUUCAAUGCAACGACUCCAAAGUUUGUUUACCAGCCAGAUGACCUUCAGCAGAAUGAAGUCAAUGGCUCCGAUGCAGUUUAGCUCCUGACUUAUAGACAAUAUAUACAUCUCCGGUCAGCAAACCUCAACGCUGGCGAUUUAUAUUCUGUUGUCAGUAUUCUACACCCGACCAGCAUCCAUCAGUAAUGACUUCAAACUAUCAGUGUUAAAUUAUGCAGAACUCAUGGUAGAUAAUGUGUUGGUUUAUGCUGCUCAUUUGUUCAUGUUUGUCACACCGUCGAAGCAUUCGAAGACAUUUAGGAGCGGAAAAUGAUCCUCCUCGAGUCGGGAGACGGAGUUAGGGCCGAUCAUCCGGCGAGGCAUCUGAAUUCCAUAUUGCUCCGAUCCUCAUUUCAGUCGGCGUGACUCAGAUAAGCAAAAAAACUCAGAGGGGGGGCUGGCGAAAUGUCAGAGAAUGACAAUGAGGCUUUUGAAAUUGCAGCCAGCCAUCUGCAGGAGGAUUCGACCUGCUUUCUUCCCUCCUCGACGGAGGAAUGCCGAGACUAUAGCCGGGAGAUUGACACAUCGCUGACUGUCAUCUGCCUCUCAUCUGCUGUUAAAAGGAAAGGAACAUGUCUGGCUGUCAUGACCAGAAAGGACACUCUCCAGGUUCACCUCUGUCGGUGUAAACACCGUGGCACCUGAAACGAGCUGGGAGCACAUUCGACACAGCUGAGCGUCUCUCGGGCCGGCAGCUCUGCGGGCCAACAGGCCCCCUGCAGAGGGCGAGAAACAUGAGAGGCGAGCGCUGGAAUGAGAAUAGAAGAUUAAUGCGGCGCGUUCUGUAUGUUGUCGGUUGUGUAUGCACGCGCGGUGCUCAUCAAGCCGACAGCAUCAUCACUGAUGCGUUUGGUUGCUCUGUCCGAGCGACAUCAGAGCAGGAAUAUUUUCUUUCUCUCGACGUACACAUUUUCAUAUCUGUGGUGACGACGGUCACCGCUCACUUUCAACUUUUGAUUUCAUUACACGGCAUUUAAAGGUGCAGUAUGGCCAGCAGGGAACCACUAACUGCUGCUAACUGUAGCAGACGUUAGCUUGUAAGCUCAGUUAAGUGUGCAGCUAGCAGUUGGAUUAGCUGACACUGUACAGGCUGGGGGGCUCGGAGCACACGAUUUCUGCCGCCCGGGCCCACGAAAGUGAUGAUCUACACCAUGUGAUGUCGCCAUUUUCUCUCUUUCUUUCUUCUUUUUUGGGCGCACAAACAAUCUUGGGAUAUGUGAGUCCACGAAGGAUGGUAGCAGUGCGUCCUCCAAAAAAUUGGGAAAAGAAGGAGCACUUGUGGGCUGCAUCUGGAGGAGCCUUCAGAAUGGGACGUAAAUGUCCUUCAAAUGCUCCUCUGAAGGGUGCAGACCGUGAAUUGAGACGCAGCAUGUUUCUCAUAGCACCUCCUCGCUCUCUACCUGAGCACACCUGAGUGUAAUCGGUGCUCUGGUGGAGUGGGGGAGGUGAUAAAAGGGCAGAGAGUGCAGGAACAGGUGAAGAAGGAGCAGCACACCUGUGAGGAGGGUUCUCUCCUCACCUUUCUCUCCGUUGUCUUAAACAGGAUCACGAUGUGCAGGGGGAGGAAAUGGGUCUUCAAAGCAGCAGAUCCCCUCUGUUCUCGUGUCCGUCCGCAUGCUAAGUUCCAGCCGUCGUCUGGACGUGUUCCUGGCGGUCUGGUCUCACGUCUGCUCCAGUGUCUGUCUUUGAAAUAUCACGUUUUGCUAUUAUGUGUUUAUUUACUGUAAGUGAUGAACAGUUCUAGAAAAGCUGUAAUUUUGUCUUGGGCAGAUUACAGGAUAGUUAAAGUCUCUUUCCUGUUGAUUUUCUUUUCAUGAUUCCUUUGAAUUAAAUAUAAAGGAAACUAAUUUUGCUCUUUUGCAGGUA